UUUACCCUGGAGUGUGCGUCAGCGGGUUGACGUCCCUGAGCCGAUAAGCAAUACCCAAGGGUUAGUACUUGAUAACUAUUGAGCAGGCUCGGCCCGUACCGAGAAGCCUACGGUUAACAUUGCUGAUCCGCCUUAAACCAGCUGGUUUAAGGGCCCCCUUCCCCAACGGCACUCUGGGGUAUCC
RNAcentral lists this non-coding RNA (184 nucleotides) under Vibrio astriarenae. Its description in RNAcentral is "6S / SsrS RNA". It matches the Rfam family "6S / SsrS RNA". From Rfam's summary of the family: E. coli 6S RNA was the first non coding RNA to be sequenced, but its function was unknown until recently. It consists of 184 nucleotides that fold into an extended hairpin structure with a large single-stranded internal bulge. Lineage: Bacteria; Pseudomonadati; Pseudomonadota; Gammaproteobacteria; Vibrionales; Vibrionaceae. The record is from Rfam by way of RNAcentral.